This 1013-nucleotide long non-coding RNA is filed under the name Sus scrofa (pig). RNAcentral describes it as "lncRNA (ENSSSCG00005016925.1)". Lineage: Eukaryota; Metazoa; Chordata; Mammalia; Artiodactyla; Suidae. The record is from RNAcentral.
UGGUCAGGGCGCUGCCAGGAGCCGCUACACAGAGCCCGGCCUCUAAGCACCGCGAGGCCGCCUGCUUUCUGCAGCCGGGGCCCCACAAUCACUCUCUCCCCCGGGAACUUGAUUUUUCAGUAUCACUGCAUUUUAUUUUAUUUUAUUUUAUUUUUUUUUUGUCUUUUGAGGACUGCAUUUUAAAAAAUUGAAAUUCACAGGCCAAAAACAAACAAACAAACAAACAAACAAACAAACAAAAACCCAACCUCAUUGUGGUGACUAAAAGAAUUCUCUCAAGCAAGCUACCGGUUCCCUAAUGAACGGGCUGCCCACACACAGCCCGUGAUUUAUUUCAGCAACAAACUCUGUGCCUGAUCAUUUUUGCACACCAAAGUCCCAAAAAGUGAUUAACAACUGCUUUGAAAAAAACAAAGACUAUCUCAUUUGUUGUUAAAUUCACUUUUUACCUUGGUGGUGUUUUUAACCUACAAAUAACAUGGAUUGUUUUUAAAGCCAGAAUCAAAUAUUUAUUCUUUAUUUGGAUGGUCCUAAGUACCCAUUUCUGUCUUUCCUCAAAAUUUUGACAUCUUCAUUUAAAAAAAAUAGUCUUUAAUACAAGUACUUGGAAUUUGUAAGCCGGCACUUGGCCUGUGUGCCUGAGCCUGGCCAAGGUGAACAUUCCAAUGUAAUGUGGACACAUUGCUGACCUGACCGACGUGGAGGGCUGCUGAGCUCAACUGCGCCAUCCUGCCCAAAGAAUUGGCAGCUCAGUGGUUAAGACUAACUCCGUACUGCUGACUUCACAGGAAGGCUAGGGACAGCUGUGCACGGGGCAGGAAGGAGGCCGCAGAAGCCGGGGCUCUGAAGCACCCUCCGGAGCCAACCGUGCAUGAGCCACUGAGGCCCCCCUGGAGCCUCGUCUCCAUACCCAGCAACCACCCUGAGAGAUGCCGUGGUCCUGUCGGAAGACUCGGUGGCGGGGGCUGCUGUUGCCACCUGCUCAGGCCAUCCUCAACAAAAAGGCUGCAGUU